ACGGAAGGCAGCAGUGGGGAAUAUUGCACAAUGGGCGAAAGCCUGAUGCAGCGACGCCGCGUGAGUGAAGAAGUAUCUCGGUAUGUAAAGCUCUAUCAGCAGGGAAGAAAAUGACGGUACCUGACUAAGAAGCCCCGGCUAACUACGUGCCAGCAGCCGCGGUAAUACGUAGGGGGCAAGCGUUAUCCGGAUUUACUGGGUGUAAAGGGAGCGUAGACGGUUUGGCAAGUCUGAAGUGAAGUGCGGGGGCUCAACUCCUGAACUGCUUUGGAAACUGUCGAACUAGAGUGCAGGAGAGGUAAGUGGAAUUCCUAGUGUAGCGGUGAAAUGCGUAGAUAUUAGGAGGAACACCAGUGGCGAAGGCGGCUUACUGGACUGUAACUGACGUUGAGGCUCGAAAGCGUGGGGAGCAAACAGGAUUAGAUACCCUGGUA
This 434-nucleotide ribosomal RNA is filed under the name uncultured Lachnospiraceae bacterium. Its description in RNAcentral is "partial 16S ribosomal RNA". It matches the Rfam family "Bacterial small subunit ribosomal RNA", at positions 341 to 792 of the family's 1533-position model. Lineage: Bacteria; Bacillati; Bacillota; Clostridia; Lachnospirales; Lachnospiraceae. The record is from RNAcentral.